UACGAAGGGGGCUAGCGUUGUUCGGAAUUACUGGGCGUAAAGGGCGCGUAGGCGGACCUGCCAGUCAGGGGUGAAAUCCCGGGGCUCAACCUCGGAAUUGCCUUUGAUACUGCGGGUCUUGAGGACGGGAGAGGGUCGUGGAAUUCCCAGUGUAGAGGUGAAAUUCGUAGAUAUUGGGAAGAACACCGGUGGCGAAGGCGGCGACCUGGACCGUAUCUGACGCUGAGGCGCGAAAGCGUGGGGAGCAAACAGG
Molecule: unclassified non-coding RNA, 253 nt
Filed under: Tagaea sp.
Lineage: Bacteria; Pseudomonadati; Pseudomonadota; Alphaproteobacteria; Rhodospirillales; Rhodospirillaceae
Also listed under: 1 other name
Description: partial 16S ribosomal RNA
Rfam family: Bacterial small subunit ribosomal RNA
Source: RNAcentral